This 502-nucleotide ribosomal RNA is filed under the name uncultured bacterium. RNAcentral's name for it is "partial 16S ribosomal RNA". It matches the Rfam family "Bacterial small subunit ribosomal RNA", at positions 29 to 523 of the family's 1533-position model. The record is from RNAcentral.
AUUGAACGCUGGCGGAAUGCUUUACACAUGCAAGUCGAUCGGCAGCACGGGUGCUUGCACCUGGUGGCGAGUGGCGAACGGGUGAGUAAUACAUCGGAACGUACCCAGUCGUGGGGGAUAACGUAGCGAAAGUUACGCUAAUACCGCAUACGUCCUGAGGGAGAAAGCGGGGGACCGUAAGGCCUCGCGCGAUUGGAGCGGCCGAUGGCGGAUUAGCUAGUUGGUGGGGUAAAGGCCUACCAAGGCGACGAUCCGUAGCGGGUCUGAGAGGACGGCCCGCCACACUGGAACUGAGACACGGUCCAGACUCCUACGGGAGGCAGCAGUGGGGAAUUUUGGACAAUGGGCGAAAGCCUGAUCCAGCCAUUCCGCGUGAGUGAAGAAGGCCUUCGGGUUGUAAAGCUCUUUCGGCAGGGAAGAAACGGCUUGGGAUAAUACCCCGGGCUAAUGACGGUACCUGAAGAAGAAGCACCGGCUAUUUUCGUGCCAGCCGCCGCCGUAA